UACGUAGGGGGCAAGCGUUAUCCGGAUUUACUGGGCAUAAAGGGCGCGUAGGUGGUGUUUUAAGUCAGGUGUUAAAGCCCUCAGCUUAACUGAGGUACGCACUUGAUACUGAAAUACUAGAGUACAGGAGAGGGAAGCGGAACCCAUGGUGUAGCUGUGAAAUGCGUAGAUAUCAUGGGGAACACCAGUUGCCAAGGCGGCUUCCUGGACUGUUACUGACACUGAGGCCCGCAAGCGUGGGGAGCAAACAGG
This 252-nucleotide ribosomal RNA is filed under the name uncultured bacterium. Its description in RNAcentral is "partial 16S ribosomal RNA". It matches the Rfam family "Bacterial small subunit ribosomal RNA", at positions 524 to 776 of the family's 1533-position model. The record is from RNAcentral.